Molecule: ribosomal RNA, 449 nt
Filed under: uncultured bacterium
Lineage: Bacteria
Description: partial 16S ribosomal RNA
Rfam family: Bacterial small subunit ribosomal RNA
Source: RNAcentral
AGCCAGACUCCUACGGGAGGCAGCAGUGGGGAAUAUUGCACAAUGGGGGGAACCCUGAUGCAGCGACGCCGCGUGGGUGAAGGAGCGUUUCGGCGCGUAAAGCCCUAUCGGCAGGGAAGAAGGAGGACGGUACCUGACUAAGAAGCCCCGGCUAACCACGUGCCAGCAGCCGCGGUAAUACGUAGGGGGCAAGCGUUAUCCGGAUUUACUGGGUGUAAAGGGAGCGUAGACGGCAUGGCAAGUCAGAUGUGAAAGCCCGGGGCUCAACCCCGGGACUGCAUUUGAAACUGUCAGGCUGGAGUGCAGGAGGGGCAGGCGGAAUUCCUGGUGUAGCGGUGAAAUGCGUAGAUAUCAGGAGGAACACCGGUGGCGAAGGCGGCCUGCUGGACUGCAACUGACGUUGAGGCCCGAAAGCGUGGGGAGCAAACAGGAUUAGAUACCCCGGUACU